This 483-nucleotide ribosomal RNA is filed under the name uncultured bacterium. RNAcentral describes it as "partial 16S ribosomal RNA". It matches the Rfam family "Bacterial small subunit ribosomal RNA", at positions 28 to 507 of the family's 1533-position model. The record is from RNAcentral.
AUUGAACGCUGGCGGCAUGCUUACACAUGCAAGUCGCACGGCAGCGCGGGCUUCGGCCUGGCGGCGAGUGGCGAACGGGUGAGUAAUGCAUCGGAACGUGCCCAGUAGUGGGGGAUAGCCCGGCGAAAGCCGGAUUAAUACCGCAUACGACCUGAGGGUGAAAGCGGGGGACCGAAAGGCCUCGCGCUAUUGGAGCGGCCGAUGUCGGAUUAGCUAGUUGGUGGGGUAAAGGCUUACCAAGGCGACGAUCCGUAGCUGGUCUGAGAGGACGACCAGCCACACUGGGACUGAGACACGGCCCAGACGCCUACGGGAGGCAGCAGUGGGGAAUGUUGGACAAUGGGGGCAACCCUGAUCCAGCCAUGCCGCGUGCGGGAAGAAGGCCUUCGGGGUGUAAACCGCUUUUGUUCGGGAAGAAAUCCUCUGGGCUAAUACCCCGGGGGGAUGACGGUACCGGAAGAAUAAGCACCGGCUAACUACGUG